UCAAAUGACUUUUGAACUUAGUGGCGGACGGGUGAGUAACACGUGAGCAACCUGCCUAUCAGAGGGGGAUAACGAUUGGAAACGAUCGCUAAUACCGCAUGACAUAGCGAAACCGCAUGGUUUUGCUAUCAAAGAUUUAUCGCUGAUAGAUGGGCUCGCGUCCGAUUAGAUAGUUGGUGAGGUAACGGCUCACCAAGUCGACGAUCGGUAGCCGGACUGAGAGGUCGAACGGCCACAUUGGGACUGAGACACGGCCCAGACUCC
Molecule: ribosomal RNA, 264 nt
Filed under: uncultured Oscillospiraceae bacterium
Lineage: Bacteria; Bacillati; Bacillota; Clostridia; Eubacteriales; Oscillospiraceae
Description: partial 16S ribosomal RNA
Rfam family: Bacterial small subunit ribosomal RNA
Source: RNAcentral